GUGAGGAAUAUUGGUCAAUGGGCGAGAGCCUGAACCAGCCAAGUAGCGUGAAGGAUGAAGGUUCUAUGGAUUGUAAACUUCUUUUAUAAGGGAAUAACGGGCACUACGUGUAGUGUUAUGCAUGUAUCUUAUGAAUAAGCAUCGGCUAACUCCGUGCCAGCAGCCGCGGUAAUACGGAGGAUGCGAGCGUUAUCCGGAUUUAUUGGGUUUAAAGGGAGCGUAGGCGGGAGAUUAAGUCAGCUGUGAAAGUUCGGGGCUCAACCUUGGAAUUGCAGUUGAAACUGGUUUCUUGAGUGCGGCAGAGGCAGGCGGAAUUCGUGGUGUAGCGGUGAAAUGCUUAGAUAUCACGAAGAACAUCGGUGGCGAAGGCGCUCUGCUGGACCAUAACUGACACU
RNAcentral lists this ribosomal RNA (395 nucleotides) under uncultured Bacteroidales bacterium. Its description in RNAcentral is "bacterial SSU rRNA". It matches the Rfam family "Bacterial small subunit ribosomal RNA", at positions 354 to 747 of the family's 1533-position model. Lineage: Bacteria; Pseudomonadati; Bacteroidota; Bacteroidia; Bacteroidales. The record is from RNAcentral.